GUGGUUAAGAGCAAACAGGUGGACCAACAUAUUUCAGAUCUUGAAGAAGUGUUCAACACCUUGCGAAAGUACGGAAUGAAGUUGAACCCCGCGAAAUGUGCAUUCGGCGUUGCCUCGGGAAAGUUCUUGGGCUUUAUGAUCACUCAUCGGGGGAUAGAGGCCAACCCUGACAAAAUACAAGCCUUGGCAUCUAUGGAAUCACCAAGGAACAAGAAAGAGGUACAGAGGUUGACUGGUAGGGUAGCAGCCUUGAACAGGUUCAUGUCCCGAGCAUCGGACAGGUGCUAUCCCUUCUUCAAAGUCCUCAGAGGAAACCAAGGCUUUGAUUGGAGUGAAGACUGUGAGAAAGCUUUCCAAGAGCUCAAACAAACAUUGGCAUCUCCCCCAAUUCUCACUAGGCCUGAGCCUGGUGACACCUUAUUUCUGUACUUAGCCGUAUCUCAAAACGCUGUCAGCGGGGUCUUGGUGAAAGAGGUUAACAAAGUCCAACAGCCUAUCUACUAUGUAAGCAAGGUCCUACUGGACGCGGAAACCAGGUAUACUUUGGCAGAACAACUUGCCCUUGCCUUGGUUAUAGCAGCAAGGAAACUCCGGCAAUAUUUUCAGUCUCACCCUAUUGUGGUGCUCACUAAUCAACCACUUAGGCAUAUACUUCAGAAGCCGGAAGUAAAGAGGAUCUUGGUUGACAACGGGAGUGCGGCCAAUAUACUUUCACAAGAAGCUUUUGCCAAAAUGGGAAUCUCAUCUCACCAGCUCAAAGCGGUUAAAACUCCUCUCCAGGGGUUUGGUGGAGGAGUCAUCACUCCAGAGGGUGUAGUUGAGCUUCCACUAACUUUGGGUUCUGGCCAGAAACAGGUUACGGAGAUGACAUCUUUUCAAGUGGUACGUGUCUCAAUGGCCUAUAACGCAAUUCUGGGAAGACCACUCCUGAACAAGAUUAAAGCCAUUGUGUCCACCUUCCACCUAGCCAUGAAGUUUCCAACAAAUAAUGGCGUUGGGGUUGUCCGUGGAGACCAGACAGCUGCCAGACAAUGCUAUGUGGCCAGUGUUCGGGAAAUAAAUAACGACGUCAUGCAAAUCUCGAGGAUUGAUCCCGAGGACGGGCAACAAGUCAGACUCGCUCCUGUCGAAGAAUUGAUGGAAAUUGAGCUCGAGCAUGAUAAGAAGGUAACGAUUGGUCGGGAUCUUGACGUCACCCUGAAGACAGAACUUGUUAGUUGCUUAUCUCGCAACAUUGACGUUUUUGCCUGGAAGGUUGAGGAUAUGUCAGGGAUAGAUCCUAAAAUUGCAGUCCAUAGGCUUAACAUUAGCCCAGGAGCCAGACCAGUAAAGCAGAGGAAAAGGCAGUUUGCCCCAGAACGACGGGAGGUCAUUCGCGAAGAGAUUAACAAACUCGUCAGCGCUCAAUUUAUUCGGGAGGUCCAAUAUCCCGAUUGGCUUGCCAAUGUUGUUUUAGUAAAGAAGGCCAAUGGUAAGUGGAGGGUCUGUAUUGACUUCACAGAUCUUAACAAAGCAUGUCCAAAGGAUAGUUAUCCCCUACCACGGAUUGACAACUUGGUGGAUAGCACGUCCGGACAUAAGUUGUACAGCUUCUUGGAUGCAUUUUCUGGUUAUCAUCAAAUCCUCAUGGUUGAAGAAGAUCAAGAAAAGACAUCAUUCAUGGCCGAUUCCGCCAUAUACUGUUAUAAGGUCAUGUCUUUCGGUUUGAAGAAUGCAGGGGCAACAUACCAAAGACUCAUCAACAAAGUCUUUGCUAACUUGAUUGGAAGGAAUGUGGAGGCGUACGUUGAUGACAUGGUGGUUAAGAGCAAACAGGUGGACCAACAUAUUUCAGAUCUUGAAGAAGUGUUCAACACCUUGCGAAAGUACGGAAUGAAGUUGAACCCCGCAAAAUGUGCAUUCGGCGUUGCCUCGGGAAAGUUCUUGGGCUUUAUGAUCACUCAUCGAGGGAUAGAGGCCAACCCUGACAAAAUACAAGCCUUGGCAUCUAUGGAAUCACCAAGGAACAAGAAAGAGGUACAGAGGUUGACUGGUAGGGUAGCAGCCUUGAACAGGUUCAUGUCCCGAGCAUCGGACAGGUGCUAUCCCUUCUUCAAAGUCCUCAGAGGAAACCAAGGCUUUGAUUGGAGUGAAGACUGUGAGAAAGCUUUCCAGGAGCUCAAACAAACAUUGGCAUCUCCCCCAAUUCUCACUAGGCCUGAGCCUGGUGACACCUUAUUUCUGUACUUAGCCGUAUCUCAAAACGCUGUCAGCGGGGUCUUGGUGAAAGAGGUUAACAAAGUCCAACAGCCUAUCUACUAUGUAAGCAAGGUCCUACUGGACGCGGAAACCAGGUAUACUUUGGCAGAACAACUUGCCCUUGCCUUGGUUAUAGCAGCAAGGAAACUCCGGCAAUAUUUUCAGUCUCACCCUAUUGUGGUGCUCACUAAUCAACCACUUAGGCAUAUACUUCAGAAGCCCGACGUAUCAGGAAGACUGAUGAAAUGGGCAAUCGAGCUUGGGGAAUUUGACAUAGAAUUCAAACCACGCCCAUCUAUCAAAGCCCAAGCUCUGGCUAACUUCAUUGCAGAACUAACCCCUAGGCCUCGGGGGCCAGGUGAGAGCUCGAGCAUGAGCACUAAUUUGGACACUUGGCAAAUAUUUGUGGAUGGAGCAUCGAACUCCUCGGGCUCGGGCGCAGGGGUCAUCAUCAUCAGCCCUGACAAACAAACAGAGAUCCAAUGCGCUCUCAGAUUCGAGUUUGAAGCAACCAACAACGAGGCCGAGUAUGAGGCCGUCGUUAUUGCUCUUGAACUAGCCCUUUGCCUAGAGCUCGAGUUCGUAAAGGUAUUCAGCGAUUCACAGCUAGUGGUCGGAC
RNAcentral lists this long non-coding RNA (2857 nucleotides) under Olea europaea subsp. europaea. The record is from RNAcentral. Lineage: Eukaryota; Viridiplantae; Streptophyta; Magnoliopsida; Lamiales; Oleaceae.